UACUGUCUACAAUAUUUCCUCUAUCAUCAUCUUCCCCUCCGACGAAUCCUUCUUCUCCUGUUUACAUCAAACCCCCUCGCUAUUUUCUCCAUCAUCAUCUUCCCCUCCGACAAAUUCUUCUUCUCCUGUUUACAUCAAAUCCCCUCGCUAUCGGCACGUUCCCCGAUGAACCCCCUUCCGAACUCCCUAUAUCAACCCAGAAAAAAACAAAAAAUUAAUCUAUAUAAUAUUGCGAGAGAGUACCAUUAUCAGAGGACCAAGGUAAGGAUUGUUGAUGGGAAAGAGCUAAACGAUGACCAAGAGCAAAGGGAAUAUGAGAUUGCGAGAGUUUUUUUAGAUUUUUUUUUUCAGAAUUGAUGGUCAUCAAUUUAAUGGAGCAAUAAAAGGAGAUGUUCAUCAAUCAACGAGCUCUUCGUGAAGAAUAGAAGGAUAUCCUCAUCAAUUUAGUGGAGCAAUAUGAGAUUGAUGGUUGAAGAUGGACAGUUAUUUGAAAUAGUAGGUUUUGAUUACAUAUUCCCAAUAAAUAAAAAUGUUCUUGGCUUCUUAUGAUUUGAUAUGAACAUAUUUUGGAUUUUGGGUUUGAUGGGAAUGAAUUUUGGGUUUGAUUUGAUCUGUGCAAAUUUUUAGUUUUGAGUUUUGAUUCUUGAUGUGAACGAAUUUGGGUUGCCUCAGAUACAAAAGAAUUUUGGGUU
This 692-nucleotide long non-coding RNA is filed under the name Panax ginseng (ginseng). RNAcentral's name for it is "long non-coding RNA (PGIN_LNC011015)". The record is from RNAcentral. Lineage: Eukaryota; Viridiplantae; Streptophyta; Magnoliopsida; Apiales; Araliaceae.